CUGGAUCUGCGGGUCGGUCCCGGCGGGAGGAUUACUCCUCGCCCACAACCUCGAGGCCCCGGCGGCAACCGCGCCUUCCGGGCCGGCAACACAGGGUUUAGUCAGAUUCCUCCUGACCCACCGCUUCUGGGAAAGAGGCGCCUCCCGUCAGGAGGAUGCUGAAUUCCUCAUGACUGGACCAGUGAGUGUUCACUCACUGGUCCCUGGCGGGAGAGGCGGGACCCCCACGCCCUCCUGGCGCUCUUUGCAGAGAUGUUCCUCAGGCCCAAUCCGGGAUUUGGGAUGUCUGUGCAUGCUGUGGAGCAGAGAGUUUGCAACAUGGUCUCACUUUGUCACCCAGGCUGGAAUGCAUUGGCACGAACACAUCUCACUGCAGCCUCAACCUCCCAGGCUGAAAUGACCCUCCAACUCAGCUUUCAGAGUAGCUGUGAUAUGGUUUGGCUGUGUCCCCACCCACAUCUCAUCUUGAAACCCAGUGGGAGGAGGAAUGCUCUCCCUUGGAACCAAGCCAUCAUUCUAUGAGGAAGCCAAGCAGCCACAUGAAAAGGCCCUAUGUAGACAUUCUAACUGACAAUACUAGCUAAGGUUCCAGCUACUCACCAGCAUCAACUAUCAGACAAAUUCCUAUCAUUAAUAGAAGAAACUAUAUGCCAAGUGACAGCCAGUGAAGCAGAACAACAGGAGAAGACGGCAAAGCCAGAAGCAAAUUAUUUCGAUGGAAGAAAAAUCCCCUCUCCAGGUUGUUUUCAUUG
RNAcentral lists this non-coding RNA (752 nucleotides) under Pongo abelii (Sumatran orangutan). The record is from RNAcentral. Lineage: Eukaryota; Metazoa; Chordata; Mammalia; Primates; Hominidae.